This 430-nucleotide ribosomal RNA is filed under the name uncultured bacterium. RNAcentral describes it as "bacterial SSU rRNA". It matches the Rfam family "Bacterial small subunit ribosomal RNA", at positions 355 to 776 of the family's 1533-position model. The record is from RNAcentral.
UGAGGAAUCUUGCGCAAUGGGGGCAACCCUGACGCAGCAACGCCGCGUGAGUGAGGAAGGUCUUCGGAUUGUAAAGCUCUGUCGGGUGGAGAGAAGUGUAAUGAGGUGAACAGCUUCAUUGCUUGACGGUACCACCAAAGGAAGCACCGGCUAACUCCGUGCCAGCAGCCGCGGUAAUACGGGGGGUGCAAGCGUUGUUCGGAAUCAUUGGGCGUAAAGAGCGUGUAGGCGGCGUAGUAAGUCAGAUGUGAAAGCCCUGGGCUCAACCUAGGAAGUGCAUUUGAAACUGUUAUGCUUGAGUAGGGGAGAGGGAAGUGGAAUUCCUGGUGUAGAGGUGAAAUUCGUAGAUAUCAGGAGGAACACCGGUGGCGAAGGCGACUUCCUGGCCCUAUACUGACGCUGAGACGCGAGAGCGUGGGUAGCAAACAGG